CUGAGAUGUUGCCUGUUGUAAAUUAGUUUGUAGUGAGUAAUCCGUGGCUGCUGGGCAUGGUUACUAGUCAGUGUAAUCUGUGUUGCGUGUAUUUUCUGUCCGUUACUGGUUGAUAGGAUUGCUAGAUUUGUUAAGAUGGUGUUCAGAAGACGGUCGUGUGUUAACAGGAGUAUUUUGUAUUCUCGUACUUUUAAACAGUUUCAUUUUCAGUUGAUCCUCACUGAGACGCAGACUGCUCAGGUGCGGUUGUUCCUGCUACAUGGACUGCAUGACCUUGACUUCACUGUGUCUGAUGUCUUCAUCCUAAUUAAUCAGCUGUAGGAGCUACAAGAUGGAUGUUGAAUGCAGUUUUGUUGAUACAGAUGCAUUUAUUAGUGAACUAAAGAAGUGCCCAUGCAUCUGGAACUACAAGAGUGAGCCAUACAGUAAUCGAAUUGAAUGGAACAGUGCAUGGGCAGCAGUUUGUUAAAAGUUUUGAGUGAAUUUCACUGUAAAGAGCAACAAGGAGAAAAAUGAAAAGCAGUAACGUUCCAGAAGAGGCGGAAAUCCUUGCGAGAUGGUUUCAACAGAUAUUUAAAUAAAAUAAAAAACAGAAAAGCAAAUCGACAGCAUCUCACAUCAGGCAGUACAUCUGUUUUCAUCAGGUUUCAUUUUUAACACCUUCAGCUAAAGAAAAGGCUGAUACUGUUAGGAGUUUGGAUAAAGAAUUGCUUGAAGUUUUCGAGGAAAGUCAGGAGGCAUCAUCAAUGAAUGAAGAGCAUGCAAAGCAUAAAUGCAAGUUAACUAUAUCAGCAGAGGAUGCUCUAAUAGAAAAAUUAUUGAAACAUGUGAAUAAAAACUUAACCUACUCACAAAUUGUGAAAGAUAACACCAAGCAGAAUGUUGAUAAAUUAUUUCUUAUGUCACUGAAUGGUGAUUUCAAGAAAAUUUCAGAUGAAUACCAAUUCGAUGCCAAAUCUGAAAUAAUUGGCAUAAUAAAAAAAUACAAGAUUUUGUCUACACAUUGCCAGCAAUAUUACAUGCAACCUCAACAAAAUUACACAGGCUACAAUAUUGUGAGGUUUAGCUGAGGCUAUCAUGAAACACCUCCUAAAUCAAGGCAUAUUGAAAAUUUUCAAGGUUUUUCUAACGUUUGUUGUUAUAUCACCUCCUGCGACCGAAAACCACAUGUCUCUGAGAUCCCCCACAUCAGCUACUAACAGCACUUCACAGAAUACUAUUUUUAGUAGCA
This is a long non-coding RNA of Cryptotermes secundus, 1231 nucleotides long. RefSeq lists it as uncharacterized. The transcript has 3 exons. The record is from RefSeq and is a predicted model, not a curated record. NCBI's taxonomy places the organism in Eukaryota, Metazoa, Arthropoda, Insecta, Blattodea, Kalotermitidae.